This 72-nucleotide small nucleolar RNA is filed under the name Solanum commersonii (Commerson's wild potato). RNAcentral's name for it is "Small nucleolar RNA snoR60". It matches the Rfam family "Small nucleolar RNA snoR60". From Rfam's summary of the family: snoR60 is a member of the C/D class of snoRNA which contain the C (UGAUGA) and D (CUGA) box motifs. Most of the members of the box C/D family function in directing site-specific 2'-O-methylation of substrate RNAs. The record is from Rfam by way of RNAcentral. Lineage: Eukaryota; Viridiplantae; Streptophyta; Magnoliopsida; Solanales; Solanaceae. RNAcentral also lists the same sequence under 1 other name.
AAUCACAUGAUGAGUUACUCGGAUUUUCCUUCAAGACAUCAUGGGUGAUGCAAAAAUCGAGUUUCUGAUGCA